Molecule: ribosomal RNA, 429 nt
Filed under: Bacillota bacterium
Lineage: Bacteria; Bacillati; Bacillota
Description: Firmicutes bacterium partial 16S ribosomal RNA
Rfam family: Bacterial small subunit ribosomal RNA
Source: RNAcentral
UAGGGAAUCUUCGGCAAUGGACGGAAGUCUGACCGAGCAACGCCGCGUGAGUGAAGAAGGUUUUCGGAUCGUAAAGCUCUGUUGUUAGAGAAGAACGUUGGUAGGAGCGGAAAAUCUACCAAGUGACGGUAACUAACCAGAAAGGGACGGCUAACUACGUGCCAGCAGCCGCGGUAAUACGUAGGUCCCGAGCGUUGUCCGGAUUUAUUGGGCGUAAAGCGAGGGCAGGCGGUUCUUUAAGUCUGAAGUUAAAGGCAGUGGCUUAACCAUUGUACGCUUUGGAAACUGGAGGACUUGAGUGCAGAAGGGGAGAGUGGAAUUCCAUGUGUAGCGGUGAAAUGCGUAGAUAUAUGGAGGAACACCGGUGGCGAAAGCGGCUCUCUGGUCUGUAACUGACGCUGAGGCUCGAAAGCGUGGGGAGCAAACAGG